RNAcentral lists this long non-coding RNA (1439 nucleotides) under Ailuropoda melanoleuca (giant panda). RNAcentral describes it as "lncRNA (ENSAMEG00000024099.1)". Lineage: Eukaryota; Metazoa; Chordata; Mammalia; Carnivora; Ursidae. The record is from RNAcentral.
AUUUGCACACUUGCUUGCCACUGCGCAGCGAGCCCCUAACCCCGCCGCCGCGGCCGGGUGGGUCUCGGGCAGAGUCGGCCUCCGAAGCCCCCGCCCCCGCCCCCGCCCCCGAGGUCGAGCGCCGGCCAAGUCCGCGGACGUAGCACUCAACGAACGCGUUGAUCCCUCCGCGCGGGAGACGAGGACAGCGGCCCCUUCCUCACUAGAUUCAGCCCUACAGCCCAUCCUUGAUAGGUAAACAUUUCAGGGGGUCUCUUAGAUGUUUUGGGGGGGCACUAGUUAUCUCUCCAAAGGGCCUGAAGUGUGAGAAAAGUAGUCCCUUCUCGGCGUUUCUGCGGAGGGAUCCAUUGGAGCGGGGCUACCGAAUGCUAUAUAAGGAGGCGCCGGGUGUGGCGCAGGCAGUUCCGAGGAGGCCGGGAGUUCAGUUUUCCUUCCUUUGCGUGUGCUGCUGUCACAGCCUCUUGACAAUGCAGAUCUUCGUGAAGACCUUUGACCGGUAAGACCAUCACCCUGGAGGUGGAGCCCAGCGACACCAUCGAGAAUGUCAAGGCGAAGAUCCAGGACAAGGAGGGCAUCCCCCCGGACCAGCAGAGGUUGAUCUUUGCCGGGAAACAGCUGGAAGAUGGGCGCACCCUGUCUGACUACAACAUCCAGAAGGAAUCCACUCUGCACUUGGUCCUGCGCUUGAGGGGAGGGGUCUAAGUUCCCCCUUUCAAGCUGCUGACAAAAUACAUUGCACUUUUCUUUCAAUAAAGUUGUUGCAUUCCCAAAUAGUGUGAGUUUUUAUGGGGAGAGGUGCUCUCUUUCGUUUGGAUGGGGUUUGAGGGGGUCAGGGUUUUCAGUCUAUCAAGUGAUUUUAGUAACCAGAAGGUCUUAAAAAAUUCAGAGGUUGCAGUUAGGAUUCUCCGUAUGUAGCUUACAUGUAGGUGUACUCGUAAACCUACUGAUUUUUGGGGGCACCUGGGUGGCUCAGUCGUUAAGCGUCUUGUCUUCAGCUCAGGGUGUGAUCCUGGCGUUAUGGGAUCGAGCCCCACAUCAGGCUCCUCCACUGGAAGCCUGCUGCUUCCUCUCCCACUCCCCCUGCUUGUGUUCCCUCUCUCUCUCUGGCUGUCUCUCUGUCAAAUAAAAAAACCUUGAAAAAUGAAAAUAAAUAAACCUACUGAUUUUAAAAAUACUGAAGUUGAGGUUGGUUUGUGAGGUAACAGUGGGAAAGUUUCUGGGCUGCCAGCAGGAGGGAGAUACUACAAAGAGGGUGGGGGUGGUGAAAUCUACAGAAGAACCCGGUUUAAUGCAUAGGUCUAUUGAAAUUUGAACUGCACAGAAAGCCGUUUUACCAGGUAUUUUAAAAAGAAUGGCAAAUAAUGUAUAUAAAAAGUGUGUCUGGCAUUAUGCUCAGAAGUUUAGGAAUCAGUGGUUAUUUAGAUAAUGACGAUUGUUAA